UACGUAGGUCCCGAGCGUUGUCCGGAUUUAUUGGGCGUAAAGCGAGCGCAGGUGGUUUAAUAAGUCUGAUGUAAAAGGCAGUGGCUCAACCAUUGUGUGCAUUGGAAACUGUUAGACUUGAGUGCAGUAGAGGAUAGUGGAAUUCCAUGUGUAGCGGUGAAAUGCGUAGAGAUCUGGAGGAAUACCGGUGGCGAAGGCGGCCAUCUGGCUGAUAACUGACGCUGAGGUGCGAGAGCGUGGGGAGCAAACAGG
This 252-nucleotide ribosomal RNA is filed under the name uncultured microorganism. RNAcentral's name for it is "partial 16S ribosomal RNA". It matches the Rfam family "Bacterial small subunit ribosomal RNA", at positions 524 to 776 of the family's 1533-position model. The record is from RNAcentral.